This 252-nucleotide ribosomal RNA is filed under the name Mitsuokella jalaludinii. Its description in RNAcentral is "partial 16S ribosomal RNA". It matches the Rfam family "Bacterial small subunit ribosomal RNA", at positions 524 to 776 of the family's 1533-position model. The record is from RNAcentral. Lineage: Bacteria; Bacillati; Bacillota; Negativicutes; Selenomonadales; Selenomonadaceae.
UACGUAGGUGGCGAGCGUUGUCCGGAAUUAUUGGGCAUAAAGGGAGCGCAGGCGGGAAGGUAAGUCUAUCUUAAAAGUGCGGGGCUCAACCCCGUGAGGGGAUGGAAACUAUCUUUCUUGAGUGCAGGAGAGGAAAGCGGAAUUCCUAGUGUAGCGGUGAAAUGCGUAGAUAUUAGGAGGAACACCAGUGGCGAAGGCGGCUUUCUGGACUGUAACUGACGCUGAGGCUCGAAAGCGUGGGGAGCGAACAGG